This 313-nucleotide long non-coding RNA is filed under the name Physcomitrium patens. RNAcentral's name for it is "long non-coding RNA (PPAT_LNC004618)". The record is from RNAcentral. Lineage: Eukaryota; Viridiplantae; Streptophyta; Bryopsida; Funariales; Funariaceae.
AAGUAAGAUCAAUAAUUUAAUCAAUAGAUAUUAGCAUUCUAAUUUUCAUUAGGAUUUAAUUUAGAGUUUAGGAUUUAUUUAGGAUUUGGUUUAAGGUUUAGGAUUUAUUUAGGAUUUGAUUUAGAGUUUAGGAUUUUUUAAAUUUUUAUUUAUGAUUUAAAAUUUAAUUAAAAUUUGGUUUAAGAUUUAUUUAGGAUUUGAUUUAAGAUUUAGAGUUUAUUUAGGAUUUAAUUUAAGAUUUAGGAUUUGCUUAGGAUUUGGGAUUUGGCCUAGGAUUUGAUUGAAAUCCAUUAAGAUUUCAAUUAAGAUUAAU